AUGCCGAUCUCGCUCCGCCUCACCGUCCCGCCGCCGGCGCAGGCGCCCACACGCCGCCGGGCCCUGGACCCGAGAGCCGGCGGAAAUGCCGUCGCCGUCUCCCCGGUCGUAUUACAGCCGGCGCGCCCGCUCAGGGGAGCUGCGCCCGGGCCAUCGAGCGUGUGGUGGCGCCGCCGGGGAGACGCCGCCGUGUGCUGCGCGACGGCGCACGUCACCGCCGAGACGAUGCGAUGGGUGUCCGUUGGGGCCGCCGCUAUGUUGAUGUUUGCUAAAGGCACAACCAUACACAAAUCUCUCCUUGUCCCUCUCGUUGCUCUACAAGCACCUAAAGACGUCAUCUCAUGGACAAAAGGUGACUAUGGUCAGUGGACCGCUUUUCUUGGGCUUCUUCUGCGUCUGCUAUCCUUGCUUCCAGGUGAACUGGAGCUUCCCUUGUCAACGAUGCUGUUUGUUAGCAUUGCUCCUUACCAAUUCAUGAACUUGAGGGGCACUCAAGACUCUGUAAUACUGUCAUUGGCAAUAGCAGCUUAUCUCGCGUUUCAGCAUUUCACCGGGGCCGGAGGCGUGAGGAAGGCCUUCGACCGUGGAGCGGUAGUUGCAACCUUGUGCAUCAUCUGCAUCACGCUUAUCCCCCUCCUGUUCUUGCUCUGA
This 651-nucleotide ribosomal RNA is filed under the name Triticum aestivum (bread wheat). RNAcentral describes it as "partial small subunit ribosomal RNA". Lineage: Eukaryota; Viridiplantae; Streptophyta; Magnoliopsida; Poales; Poaceae. The record is from RNAcentral.